Molecule: ribosomal RNA, 465 nt
Filed under: Vreelandella stevensii
Lineage: Bacteria; Pseudomonadati; Pseudomonadota; Gammaproteobacteria; Oceanospirillales; Halomonadaceae
Description: partial 16S ribosomal RNA
Rfam family: Bacterial small subunit ribosomal RNA
Source: RNAcentral
CCUACGGGGGGCUGCAGUGGGGAAUAUUGCACAAUGGGGGGAACCCUGAUCCAGCCAUGCCGCGUGUGUGAAGAAGGCCCUCGGGUUGUAAAGCACUUUCAGUGAGGAAGAACGCCUGGUGGUUAAUACCCUUCACGAAAGACAUCACCCACAGAAGAAGCACCGGCUAACUCCGUGCCAGCAGCCGCGGUAAUACGGAGGGUGCGAGCGUUAAUCGGAAUUACUGGGCGUAAAGCGCGCGUAGGUGGCUUGAUAAGCCGGUUGUGAAAGCCCCGGGCUCAACCUGGGAACGGCAUCCGGAACUGUCAAGCUAGAGUGCAGGAGAGGAGGGUAGAAUUCCCGGUGUAGCGGUGAAAUGCGUAGAGAUCGGGAGGAAUACCAGUGGCGAAGGCGGCCUUCUGGACUGACACUGACACUGAGGUGCGAAAGCGUGGGUAGCAAACAGGAUUAGAUACCCUUGUAGUC